Molecule: ribosomal RNA, 1346 nt
Filed under: uncultured bacterium
Lineage: Bacteria
Description: partial 16S ribosomal RNA
Rfam family: Bacterial small subunit ribosomal RNA
Source: RNAcentral
GACGAACGCUUGCGGCGUGCUUAACACAUGCAAGUCGAACGGAAAGGCCCUGCUUUUGUGGGGUGCUCGAGUGGCGAACGGGUGAGUAACACGUGAGUAACCUGCCCUUGACUUUGGGAUAACUUCAGGAAACUGGGGCUAAUACCGGAUAGGAGCUCCUGCUGCAUGGUGGGGGUUGGAAAGUUUCGGCGGUUGGGGAUGGACUCGCGGCUUAUCAGCUUGUUGGUGGGGUAGUGGCUUACCAAGGCUUUGACGGGUAGCCGGCCUGAGAGGGUGACCGGCCACAUUGGGACUGAGAUACGGCCCAGACUCCUACGGGAGGCAGCAGUGGGGAAUAUUGCACAAUGGGCGGAAGCCUGAUGCAGCAACGCCGCGUGCGGGAUGACGGCCUUCGGGUUGUAAACCGCUUUCGCCUGUGACGAAGCGUGAGUGACGGUAAUGGGUAAAGAAGCACCGGCUAACUACGUGCCAGCAGCCGCGGUGAUACGUAGGGUGCGAGCGUUGUCCGGAUUUAUUGGGCGUAAAGGGCUCGUAGGUGGUUGAUCGCGUCGGAAGUGUAAUCUUGGGGCUUAACCCUGAGCGUGCUUUCGAUACGGGUUGACUUGAGGAAGGUAGGGGAGAAUGGAAUUCCUGGUGGAGCGGUGGAAUGCGCAGAUAUCAGGAGGAACACCAGUGGCGAAGGCGGUUCUCUGGGCCUUUCCUGACGCUGAGGAGCGAAAGCGUGGGGAGCGAACAGGCUUAGAUACCCUGGUAGUCCACGCUGUAAACGGUGGGUACUAGGUGUGGGGUCCAUUCCACGGGUUCCGUGCCGUAGCUAACGCUUUAAGUACCCCGCCUGGGGAGUACGGCCGCAAGGCUAAAACUCAAAGGAAUUGACGGGGCCCCGCACAAGCGGCGGAGCAUGCGGAUUAAUUCGAUGCAACGCGUAGAACCUUACCUGGGUUUGACAUGGAUCGGGAGUGCUCAGAGAUGGGUGUGCCUCUUUUGGGGUCGGUUCACAGGUGGUGCAUGGCUGUCGUCAGCUCGUGUCGUGAGAUGUUGGGUUAAGUCCCGCAACGAGCGCAACCCUUGUUCACUGUUGCCAGCACGUUAUGGUGGGGACUCAGUGGAGACCGCCGGGGUCAACUCGGAGGAAGGUGGGGAUGACGUCAAGUCAUCAUGCCCCUUAUGUCCAGGGCUUCACGCAUGCUACAAUGGCUGGUACAGAGAGUGGCGAGCCUGUGAGGGUGAGCGAAUCUCGGAAAGCCGGUCUCAGUUCGGAUUGGGGUCUGCAACUCGACCUCAUGAAGUCGGAGUCGCUAGUAAUCGCAGAUCAGCAACGCUGCGGCGAAUACGUUCCCGGGGCU